This 72-nucleotide transfer RNA is filed under the name Canis lupus familiaris (dog). It matches the Rfam family "tRNA". Rfam says of the family: Transfer RNA (tRNA) molecules are approximately 80 nucleotides in length. The record is from Rfam by way of RNAcentral. Lineage: Eukaryota; Metazoa; Chordata; Mammalia; Carnivora; Canidae. RNAcentral also lists the same sequence under 1 other name.
GCCCAGCUGGCUCAAUCAGUAGAGCAUGUGACUCUUGAUCUCGGGUUGUGAGUUUGAGUUUCACACUGGGGG